UCUUCAUUAGUAUAACGGUUAGUAUAACCGCUUCUCAGUGGCUGGAACUUCCAGUUCUGUUCGCGGUAGACCAGGGUUCAACUCCCUGAUGGAGAA
Molecule: transfer RNA, 96 nt
Filed under: Cryptococcus neoformans
Lineage: Eukaryota; Fungi; Basidiomycota; Tremellomycetes; Tremellales; Cryptococcaceae
Also listed under: 1 other name
Description: tRNA-Glu
Rfam family: tRNA
About the family: Transfer RNA (tRNA) molecules are approximately 80 nucleotides in length. Their secondary structure includes four short double-helical elements and three loops (D, anti-codon, and T loops).
Source: RNAcentral